Molecule: small RNA, 52 nt
Filed under: Caenorhabditis elegans
Lineage: Eukaryota; Metazoa; Nematoda; Chromadorea; Rhabditida; Rhabditidae
Description: Unclassified non-coding RNA T09F5.18
Source: RNAcentral
CAUACCGCCACCACGUGUACUCGGCAAAAAGGAUGUAGAAACGGUUCUCGAA